GACGAACGCUGGCGGCGUGCUUAACACAUGCAAGUCGAACGGAAAGGCCCUGCUUUUUUGGGGUGCUCGAUUGGCGAACGGGGGAGUAACACGUGAGUAACCUGCCCUUGACUUUGGGAUAACUUCAGGAAACUGGGGCUAAUACCGUAUCGGAGCUCCUGCUGCAUGGUGGGGGUUGGAUAGUUUCGGCGGUUGGGGAUGGAUUCGCGGCUUAUCAGCUUGCUGGUGGGGUAGUGGCUUACCAAGGCUUUGACGGGUAGCCGGCAUGGGAGGGUGACCGGCCACAUUGGGCCUGAGAGACGGACCAGAGUCCUACGGGAGGCAGCAGGGGGGAACAUUGCACAAUGGGCGGAAGCCUGAUGCAGCAACGUCGCGUGCGGGAUGACGGCCUUCGGGUUGUAAACCGCUUUCGCCUGUGACGAAGCGUGAGUGACGGUAAUGGGUAAAGAAGCACCGGCUAACUACGUG
Molecule: ribosomal RNA, 468 nt
Filed under: uncultured bacterium
Lineage: Bacteria
Description: partial 16S ribosomal RNA
Rfam family: Bacterial small subunit ribosomal RNA
Source: RNAcentral